CCAGGACAUCGGCUGCGCUCAGGAGCAACCGAGAUGUAAUGGGGUCCGGAUGCGCCGUUCGCUCCAGAAGAUCGGUCGGCGUGAAAGUAUCGGU
Molecule: small RNA, 94 nt
Filed under: Sinorhizobium meliloti 2011
Lineage: Bacteria; Pseudomonadati; Pseudomonadota; Alphaproteobacteria; Hyphomicrobiales; Rhizobiaceae
Description: putative ncRNA
Source: RNAcentral